Molecule: non-coding RNA, 61 nt
Organism: Desulfitobacterium hafniense Y51
Lineage: Bacteria; Bacillati; Bacillota; Clostridia; Eubacteriales; Desulfitobacteriaceae
Source: Rfam
AAUCAGAUAGGCGAUGGAGUUCGCCUUUAACCGCCGCUUGGCUAAUGACUCCUGCCGGUUA